GAUGAACGCUGACAGAAUGCUUAACACAUGCAAGUCGAUGGGGAAGUGGUGCUUGCACCAUGGCAACCAUGGCGGACGGGUGAGUAACGCGUAAAGGACUUACCUGCAGGACUGGGAUAACAGGGGGAAACUCCUGACAAGACCGGAUAAUGUCAUGGAGCUGCAUGGCUUUAUGAUGAAAGGAGACGCCUGCGGAGAGCCUUGCGUCCUAUUAGCUAGUUGGUGAGGUAAUGGCUCACCAAGGCGAAGAUAGGUAGCCGGCCUGAGAGGGUGGACGGCCACAAGGGGACUGAGAUACGGCCCUUACUCCUACGGGAGGCAGCAGUGGGGAAUAUUGGACAAUGGGGGCAACCCUGAUCCAGCAAUUCUGUGUGCACGAAGAAGGUUUUCGGAUUGUAAAGUGCUUUCAGCAGGGAAGAAGUAAGUGACGGUACCUGCAGAAGAAGCGACGGCUAAAUACGUG
RNAcentral lists this ribosomal RNA (463 nucleotides) under uncultured bacterium. RNAcentral's name for it is "partial 16S ribosomal RNA". It matches the Rfam family "Bacterial small subunit ribosomal RNA", at positions 28 to 507 of the family's 1533-position model. The record is from RNAcentral.